RNAcentral lists this ribosomal RNA (429 nucleotides) under Actinomycetes bacterium. RNAcentral's name for it is "Actinobacteria bacterium partial 16S ribosomal RNA". It matches the Rfam family "Bacterial small subunit ribosomal RNA", at positions 355 to 776 of the family's 1533-position model. The record is from RNAcentral. Lineage: Bacteria; Bacillati; Actinomycetota; Actinomycetes.
UAGGGAAUCUUCCGCAAUGGGCGAAAGCCUGACGGAGCAACGCCGCGUGAGUGAUGAAGUUCUUCGGAUUGUAAAACUCUGUUAUUAGGGAAGAACAAAUGUGUAAGUAACUAUGCACGUCUUGACGGUACCUACUCAGAAAGCCACGGCUAACUACGUUCCAGCAGCCGCGGUAAUACGUAGGUGGCAAGCGUUAUCCGGAAUUAUUGGGCGUAAAGCGCGCGUAGGCGGUUGUUUAAGUCUGAUGUGAAAGCCCACGGCUCAACCGUGGAGGGUCAUUGGAAACUGGAAAACUUGAGUGCAGAAGAGGAAAGUGGAAUUCCAUGUGUAGCGGUGAAAUGCGCAGAGAUAUGGAGGAACACCAGUGGCGAAGGCGACUUGCAGGUCUGAAACUGACGCUGAUGUGCGAAAGCGUGGGGAUCAAACAGG